AGAGUUUGAUCCUGGCUCAGAUUGAACGCUGGCGGCAUGCCUUACACAUGCAAGUCGAACGGCAGCACGGGGGCAACCCUGGUGGCGAGUGGCGAACGGGUGAGUAAUACAUCGGAACGUGUCCUGUAGUGGGGGAUAGCCCGGCGAAAGCCGGAUUAAUACCGCAUACGCUCUACGGAGAAAGGGGGGGAUCUUAGGACCUCCCGCUACAGGGGCGGCCGAUGGCAGAUUAGCUAGUUGGUGGGGUAAAGGCCUACCAAGGCGACGAUCUGUAGCUGGUCUGAGAGGACGACCAGCCACACUGGGACUGAGACACGGCCCAGACUCCUACGGGAGGCAGCAGUGGGGAAUUUUGGACAAUGGGCGAAAGCCUGAUCCAGCAAUGCCGCGUGUGUGAAGAAGGCCUUCGGGUUGUAAAGCACUUUUGUCCGGAAAGAAAACGCCGUGGUUAAUACCCGUGGCGGAUGACGGUACCGGAAGAAUAAGCACCGGCUAACUACGUG
This 503-nucleotide ribosomal RNA is filed under the name uncultured Burkholderia sp. RNAcentral's name for it is "bacterial SSU rRNA". It matches the Rfam family "Bacterial small subunit ribosomal RNA", at positions 8 to 507 of the family's 1533-position model. The record is from RNAcentral. Lineage: Bacteria; Pseudomonadati; Pseudomonadota; Betaproteobacteria; Burkholderiales; Burkholderiaceae.